This 460-nucleotide ribosomal RNA is filed under the name uncultured bacterium. RNAcentral describes it as "partial 16S ribosomal RNA". It matches the Rfam family "Bacterial small subunit ribosomal RNA", at positions 338 to 795 of the family's 1533-position model. The record is from RNAcentral.
CCUACGGGAGGCAGCAGUGAGGAAUAUUGGUCAAUGGCCGUAAGGCUGAACCAGCCAAGUCGCGUGAAGGAAGAAGGAUCUAUGGUUUGUAAACUUCUUUUAUAGGGGAAUAAAGGUAUCCACGUGUGGAUAUUUGCAUGUACCCUAUGAAUAAGCAUCGGCUAACUCCGUGCCAGCAGCCGCGGUAAUACGGAGGAUGCGAGCGUUAUCCGGAUUUAUUGGGUUUAAAGGGUGCGUAGGUGGUUUUUUAAGUCAGCGGUGAAAGUUUGUGGCUCAACCAUAAAAUUGCCGUUGAAACUGGAAGGCUUGAGUGUAGUUGAGGGAGGCGGAAUGCGUGGUGUAGCGGUGAAAUGCAGAGAUAUCACGCAGAACUCCGAUUGCGAAGGCAGCUUACUAGGCCAAAACUGGCACUGAAGCACGAAAGCGUGGGGAGCAAACAGGAUUAGAUACCCCAGUAGUC